RNAcentral lists this ribosomal RNA (253 nucleotides) under uncultured bacterium. RNAcentral's name for it is "partial 16S ribosomal RNA". It matches the Rfam family "Bacterial small subunit ribosomal RNA", at positions 524 to 776 of the family's 1533-position model. The record is from RNAcentral.
GACGGAGGAUGCAAGUGUUAUCCGGAAUCACUGGGCGUAAAGCGUCUGUAGGUGGUUUAAAAAGUCCACUGUUAAAAAUUGAAGCUUAACUUCAAAGAUGCCGUGGAAACUUUUAAACUUGAGUAUGGUAGGGGUAGAGGGAAUUUCCAGUGGAGCGGUGAAAUGCGUAGAUAUUGGAAAGACCACCAAUGGCGAAGGCACUCUACUGGGCCAUUACUGGCACUGAGAGACGAAAGCUAGGGGAGCAAAUGGG